CCUGCUCACUCCCCUUUAUAACUGGCCCUAGGAGUAGCAAGCCUCAAGCUUGCCCAAUUGGGCAGAGGGAUCAUCCUCGGAUCAUCCCCGUUGUUUCCAGCCUGACAGCCACAGACGAUCUUCUCAGCAACUGUGUUUUGUCUUCUGGACCACUGACAAGGAACAUCUCCCUGAUAGGAAAUGGUUUUACAGAUUUGAAAGAAAAUCGACUCAAAAGCUGAAAAUGUUGUGAAGAGAAGACUUAGUGUUGUUGGGCUGUGAAAACAAAAUAAAUUAUUGCCUCACAGAAUGAA
Long non-coding RNA from Pogoniulus pusillus (Red-fronted tinkerbird), 293 nucleotides. RefSeq lists it as uncharacterized. The record is from RefSeq and is a predicted model, not a curated record. NCBI's taxonomy places the organism in Eukaryota, Metazoa, Chordata, Aves, Piciformes, Lybiidae. The transcript has 3 exons.